Molecule: transfer RNA, 76 nt
Filed under: Klebsiella pneumoniae
Lineage: Bacteria; Pseudomonadati; Pseudomonadota; Gammaproteobacteria; Enterobacterales; Enterobacteriaceae
Also listed under: 1 other name
Description: tRNA-Ala
Rfam family: tRNA
About the family: Transfer RNA (tRNA) molecules are approximately 80 nucleotides in length. Their secondary structure includes four short double-helical elements and three loops (D, anti-codon, and T loops). Further hydrogen bonds mediate the characteristic L-shaped molecular structure. tRNAs have two regions of fundamental functional importance: the anti-codon, which is responsible for specific mRNA codon recognition, and the 3' end, to which the tRNAs corresponding amino acid is attached (by aminoacyl-tRNA synthetases). tRNAs cope with the degeneracy of the genetic code in two manners: having more than one tRNA (with a specific anti-codon) for a particular amino acid; and 'wobble' base-pairing, i.e. permitting non-standard base-pairing at the 3rd anti-codon position.
Source: RNAcentral
GGGGCUAUAGCUCAGCUGGGAGAGCGCCUGCUUUGCACGCAGGAGGUCAGCGGUUCGAUCCCGCUUGGCUCCACCA